Molecule: ribosomal RNA, 501 nt
Filed under: uncultured soil bacterium
Lineage: Bacteria
Description: bacterial SSU rRNA
Rfam family: Bacterial small subunit ribosomal RNA
Source: RNAcentral
AUUGGCGGACGGGUGAGUAACGCGUGGGAAACCUGCCCUCGAGACCGGGAUAACACCCCCAACGGGGUGCUAAUACCGGAUAAGACCACCGCAUGCGAAGGUGCGCUUGAGGAUGGUCCCGCGUCCCAUUAGCUAGUUGGUGAGGUAAUGGCCCACCAAGGCGACGAUGGGUAGCUGGUCUGAGAGGAUGGUCAGCCACACUGGGACUGAGAUACGGCCCAGACUCCUACGGGAGGCAGCAGUCGAGAGGCUUCGGCAAUGGGGGAAACCCUGACCGAGCGACGCCGCGUGGGCGAUGAAGGCCGUUAGGUUGUAAAGCCCUGUCGUGCGGGGAGAAUGACGGUACCGCAGAAGGAAGCUCCGGCCAACUCCGUGCCAGCAGCCGCGGUAACACGGGGGGAGCAAACGUUGUUCGGAAUUACUGGGCGUAAAGGGCGUGCAGGCGGCCUUGUGAGUGGGAUGUGAAAUGCCCUGGCUCAACCAGGGAACCGCAUCUCAGAC